RNAcentral lists this ribosomal RNA (497 nucleotides) under uncultured bacterium. RNAcentral describes it as "partial 16S ribosomal RNA". It matches the Rfam family "Bacterial small subunit ribosomal RNA", at positions 28 to 507 of the family's 1533-position model. The record is from RNAcentral.
GAUGAACGCUGGCGGCGUGCCUAAUACAUGCAAGUCGAGCGAACGGACUAUUAUCUUUCUUUUCUGAUUUUUGCGGCGGACGUGUGAGUAACACGUGUAUAACCUACCUAUAAUACUGGUAUAACUUCGUGAAACCGGAGCUAAUACCGGAUAAUAUUUUUAACCUCAUGGUUCAUUAGUGAAAUACGGUCUUGCUUUCUCUUAUAGAUGUAUCCUCGCUUCAUUAGCUAGUUGGUAAGGUAACGGCUUACCAAGGCAACGAUGCAUAGCCGAACUGAGAGGGGGAUCGGCGACACUGGAAGUGAGACAAGGAACAGACUCCUACGGGAGGCAGCAGAAGGGAAUAGGACGAAAUGGGCGAAAGCAUGACGGAGGAAAGCGGAGUGAGAGAUGAAGGUCUUAGGAGCGGAAAAAAAUGUUAGGAGGGAAGAAAAAAAGUGGAAGAAAAUGUGAAGAGAGUGACGGUAACAAAUAAGAAAGCAACGGCUAACUACGUG